UCGUUCGGGUGAAUGCUUGCUUUUAGUCGCUGAAGAAUAACGACGUUGUCGCCACGAUGGGAAAGGGAGGCUUUGCAAACGGUUACCUGCAGACGAAGAGAGGAGCAGCAGCAGCGGCGACAACUGGGAUCGCCUUCAUGCUCUUGCUCCUCCUAAACGUCGAGGGCUACUUCUAUGGUGCCUACCAGAUGAUUCAUUACCUGAGCUUCUCUUACCUGCUCAACGGGUGCUUCUUCAUUCUGCACGCUCUGAUAGGAGAACUGGAACCCACGAAG
Molecule: long non-coding RNA, 275 nt
Organism: Rhipicephalus microplus (southern cattle tick)
Lineage: Eukaryota; Metazoa; Arthropoda; Arachnida; Ixodida; Ixodidae
Source: RefSeq, a predicted model, not a curated record